AAGAAGUUUUAUUUUGGCUAAAUUUGGUUAAUGCCAUGACCCUAACAAUUGUCAUCAUAAAAAAAAACUAUCUGAAGAAGUAUCUCCUCUCGCCUCUCCAGCUCUCCAGCCACUGACCACUACACUGCAGCCAUAUACACCCAAAUUCCUUUACUUCCUCAAUACUUUUUAUAUAAGACAGCCUCUCUUAAGCCGUUCUCAUUCAAGCUUCUUCAUAAAAAAUCCAGUUUCUAGAUCCUCUAAACCGAGAAGAAAGUCAAAAGGAGUUAUCAUUUUACUUCAUCAGUAUGUGAAAAGCUUGAAGAUUUGAUAUAUAAGAGGAGAUAUUUAUAGAUCAGAUUUAGUGUAGAGAUAAGGAUCAAAUGAUGAGUGAUACAAAAGGGGCCAAGAAUGAUCUGUGACGACCUUUCAUACACACGGGAUGUUGGUACCGAAUGGGUUCCAGACAAUCGAGCAUGAUGGAUUUGUCUCAAGUUAUCAGAGGCAGCUCAAUCUCUGUUCUUAUAUGUUUUUUUUAUGUCAGAUUCACCUGUGUUUAAUAUCCCAAACACCAAGCUGCAAUCACAAAAGCAUCUCCGUUUAACUUUGAUCUCUUAGCUAUAAAUAGUACCUUGUGUUCGGUUCUCUAUCCAAUAUGUGUCUUGAUACAAUUGCCAGUGGUAUAGCUUGUUUCUUUAUUAUUAAAUUACUCUAUUUCGUUCUAGCAGCAACUAAUGAAAUCUUUUUUUUCUUUUGCUUUACCUAAAACUCUUUAUUGUGUGUUUCUUGGACAGUCUCUGAUGAUUGCUGCAAUUCCCAAUAUCAUUGGUCGGCUUUGCAUAUCAUUUGCAAAAGUGACUGUUUGUUGUUUUCCAGUUUCUUUAUUUGACUUCUUCAUAACUUCAACUACCCGUUUGUAAAUGUUUAAUCAACCGUGCAUCAUCUUUGUUUUGCAGGAAACUUCUUUGCUGUACCUGAGAAGAAUUUUGGAAGGCUUUGGCGCUGAGAUCAUAUAUAUCACGGUAAUACUGAACUAUUAAAAAAAUCUCAAGUGUUUGAUUUUCUGUUAGCUGGAAUUAAUUUGUGGGAGGAGCAGCAUGUCAGACACCCAUAAGCUCGCGGCCUCUCUCUCUAGCGCCAUCCAAAAAUCUCAGCAGCCAUAUUUUUGAAAGUUGUGUUACCCGACCAUCAUGUCAUCAAGGAGGAGAGGAGUACGUCGUUAUACUCUGGUGAAAGGUUUUUGUGUUAAUAUGUUUGUGAGAAAUGAGAUGAUGAAUUUUUGGGAAAAAGACUCAUAUAUUUAUAGCUACAGAUUCACCGACGGUGAGAUAGGAGGAAUGCAAUGAAUGAGAAAUCGUGGAAGGAGUGGAGGAGAUGGAGUUAAUUGGAACAUUAAUGUGAAUGAUUGAAUGCAGAGAAGAUUCGUAAAGGUGUCGGUUUUUUAAAGUAGGUGAGAAGUUAUGCACCCGAAUCGACACAACGGAUUCUUCCACAAGAGAUUCACCGGAAAUGGUUUUCCCUCUUAACCCAGCUGGAGCUCCAUAUUCUGUUUGACAAACAUGAGCUCAACAAUGGCGGAAACCCAUGACUGCUUUUCUUCGUCAAAGUUGUGAAGGUGAAGACAAUUAUAAUGGGGCCCGAUAAUUGUAUUAGAAGUCCACUUGACUUAUCUUUUUAAGCCCAAAGCAAUUGUUUCUAUCAAAGCCCAACUAACCGAAUUUCCGAGA
Molecule: long non-coding RNA, 1706 nt
Organism: Brassica oleracea var. oleracea
Lineage: Eukaryota; Viridiplantae; Streptophyta; Magnoliopsida; Brassicales; Brassicaceae
Exons: 2
Source: RefSeq, a predicted model, not a curated record